UCAGGGAUUUCCCCGUCACUCAUUGGUCAGGUGAUGUGUCAGUCUGCCAUUAGUGACCAAUCAGAGUUCCCCUUCAGUCUUCCCCCCAGCAACCUAUAAGCAGUGACCUGCGGGGGGCGGGAUCAGGAGUGAGAGGACAGAGCAGGACACUGGAGGCUCCUGUGGUUCCUACAAUAUAGGAUCCGCUCAGUGGAGAUCUUCUAUAUAAGAACCUUCUCCUGAUUGACCUGUCAAGGAUGGACAGGGACAGGGACAAGAUGGCGGAGAGUAUAAUAAAUCUUACCCUAGAGAUCCUCUUCCGGCUUACUGGAGAGGACUACACAGUAGCGAAGAAGACCUCUAGUGAGCGCUGUCAGGACCCUGUGUCUGAAG
Bufo gargarizans (Asiatic toad) is the source of this 372-nucleotide long non-coding RNA. RefSeq lists it as uncharacterized. The record is from RefSeq and is a predicted model, not a curated record. The transcript is spliced from 3 exons. NCBI's taxonomy places the organism in Eukaryota, Metazoa, Chordata, Amphibia, Anura, Bufonidae.